Molecule: transfer RNA, 573 nt
Filed under: Borreliella burgdorferi (Lyme disease spirochete)
Lineage: Bacteria; Pseudomonadati; Spirochaetota; Spirochaetia; Spirochaetales; Borreliaceae
Description: partial 16S-23S ribosomal RNA intergenic spacer
Rfam family: tRNA (bases 43-116)
Source: RNAcentral
UAAAGAGCUUUGUUAAACUUAGACUUAAGUUUAGGUCAUUUUGGGGGUUUAGCUCAGUUGGCUAGAGCAUCGGCUUUGCAAGCCGAGGGUCAAGGGUUCGAGUCCCUUAACCUCCAUUGGGCUUAUGUCCUAAAUCGUAAUUAAGUAUGUUUUUAAGUAACUUUGUUAAAGUAAUUGUUGGAACGUGAAACAGAGGAAGUUAAAAUUUCUGGGUUAAGUUGAGAUCUGUUGAUAUUAAGAAGAAUCUCUAGAAGCAAAAGCAAGCUUUCGAUAAAACCCGAAGUUGUUUCGCUAAAGUGCAAGGAUUAAACAGGAUUGUAUUUUCCAGUAGCCUAUUUUAUAAAUGAUCUGCAUUUAGUAAAUAGUUUUUAGUUAAGAAAUAAUGUAGAUUGCUAAGUGUGAUGCCUGAAAGAAGGACAAGUAUUGUAGCGAGCCUAAAUCCUUGUUGUCGUUGCCAGUAUUUAGUGGUAGGGAUUCGGAUAAGACUGCCAUUUAUAAGUUGGAGGAAGGCAAAGAUUGCAUUAAAUCGUUAUCGCUCUUAUGUUUUAGGUUACAAGUUUGCCACAAUAACCC